UCUAAAUGCAAAUUGUCAAUAUAACCCUUUCCAUGAAAUCUCAGAAGCAGCUAGGACUCCCAGGAGAUGAAGAGAGAAAAUAUGAAUGGGACCGACAUGGGAAGCCAGUGAUCAGUGAUGGAGACACCGACCACAAGGGCUCUGGUGACUCAGCUCCUUAAUAAUCACCAGGCCAAGGAGCCCGGGAGGUUGAGACCACGUGUGAUGUGGAGGAAACUUGGCAGCGCUGGGCUUGGGCGCCUGGCUCCGGGCACUGAAGGGAGGGCUGCAGAGAUCACGGGGAGAGGCCGCUCCUCUUCUCCCAAGGCCAGUCUCUGUUACUGGGGAAACGGGCCAGGGCUGCCCUUGACGUCCUUGGAAAUCACACCAGGAAUGGCCUGACCACACUGGGCAGGAGGGAAAAGAAGGAAGCCCACGGACUGGGCGGAGAGGGAGAAAGCCUGCCGCAAGGGCUGCAGGGCAGGAGGGGGCUUCUCAUUCCCCCCCAGGCUCCUAGAACAAAGGAAAGCCCGCCCCACCGCCCUCUCUCAGUCCUGUGUUCUAUUUAAAUCCUGUGCCCGGUGCAAGACUGCAUUCAGUCUGCAUGAGCCUUAGUUUCAUAAAAGCCGCCUCGCACCGAGGGGACAAUGUCCAGAACCAAAUAACUGCAGCAUGAAUGAAUCUCCUCAUAACUAUGCCGAGAUGCACACGUCUCACCGUGCUGAGCAGCAGGCACAAAACAAUGUACGCUCCACGGUUCCGUUGAUACGAGUUCUGGGACAGACAUAACUCUCGUGAUAGAAAUCAGAUCAGUGACAAGGUCUCACUAUGUUGCCCAGGCUGAUCUCGAAUUCCUGGCCUCAAGCACUCUUGCC
Molecule: long non-coding RNA, 854 nt
Organism: Macaca mulatta (Rhesus monkey)
Lineage: Eukaryota; Metazoa; Chordata; Mammalia; Primates; Cercopithecidae
Source: RefSeq, a predicted model, not a curated record